CCUACGGGUGGCAGCAGUGAGGAAUAUUGGUCAAUGGGCGCGAGCCUGAACCAGCCAAGUCGCGUGAGGGAAGACGGUCCUAUGGAUUGUAAACCUCUUUUGUCGGGGAGCAAAAGACGCCACGCGUGGCGUUCCGAGAGUACCCGAAGAAAAAGCAUCGGCUAACUCCGUGCCAGCAGCCGCGGUAAUACGGAGGAUGCGAGCGUUUGUCGGAUUUAUUGGGUUUAAAGGGUGCGCAGGCGGAAGGUUAAGUCAGCGGUAAAAUUGAGAGGCUCAACCUCUUCGAGCCGUUGAAACUGGGGUUCUUGAGUGAAUGAGAAGUAUGCGGAAUGCGUGGUGUAGCGGUGAAAUGCAUAGAUAUCACGCAGAACUCCGAUUGCGAAGGCAGCAUACCGGCGCUCAACUGACGCUGAUGCACGAAAGUGUGGGUAUCGAACAGGAUUAGAUACCCCAGUAGUC
Molecule: ribosomal RNA, 459 nt
Filed under: uncultured bacterium
Lineage: Bacteria
Description: partial 16S ribosomal RNA
Rfam family: Bacterial small subunit ribosomal RNA
Source: RNAcentral